GACGAACGCUGGCGGCGUGCUUAACACAUGCAAGUCGAACGGAAAGGCCCUGCUUUUGUGGGGUGCUCGAGUGGCGAACGGGUGAGUAACACGUGAGUAACCUGCCCUUGACUUUGGGAUAACUUCAGGAAACUGGGGCUAAUACCGGAUAGGAGCUCCUGCUGCAUGGUGGGGGUUGGAAAGUUUCGGCGGUUGGGGAUGGACUCGCGGCUUAUCAGCUUGUUGGUGGGGUAGUGGCUUACCAAGGCUUUGACGGGUAGCCGGCCUGAGAGGGUGACCGGCCACAUUGGGACUGAGAUACGGCCCAGACUCCUACGGGAGGCAGCAGUGGGGAAUAUUGCACAAUGGGCUGAAGCCUGAUGCAGCAACGCCGCGUGCGGGAUGACGGUCUUCGGGUUGUAAACCGCUUUCGCCUGUGACGAAGCGUGAGUGACGGUAAUGGGUAAAGAAGCACCGGCUAACUACGUG
Molecule: ribosomal RNA, 468 nt
Filed under: uncultured bacterium
Lineage: Bacteria
Description: partial 16S ribosomal RNA
Rfam family: Bacterial small subunit ribosomal RNA
Source: RNAcentral